AGAAAGAGAAGUGACUCGCUUGGAUCUAUAUAAUACACCUUUCUUCUUUAUUCUAUCUACCCAUAUCUCUAUCUAUCAAAUAUGAGGAUUCGCAAGAACGCAAACCUUUCCUCCCUCGUGUUCUCGCACGCUUCGGGGCCUGAGGUGCUGCAGACACACGUGUGCCAGCUGAACCAGUCGCCAUGGGAUGUGAUUCCUUUCGCUCAAGAGGCUUACCCAUCUUCUCUUCACCAGUUCGAAGGAGAAGAUAGCUUUAACGGAAAUGGG
This 267-nucleotide unclassified non-coding RNA is filed under the name Hevea brasiliensis (rubber tree). The record is from RNAcentral. Lineage: Eukaryota; Viridiplantae; Streptophyta; Magnoliopsida; Malpighiales; Euphorbiaceae.